GCCGGGGUGCCCGAGCGGACCAAGGGGCUGGCCUUGAGAGCCAGUAGGGGAAACCCUGCACGGGUUCAAAUCACGUCCCCGGCG
Molecule: transfer RNA, 84 nt
Filed under: Acidianus infernus
Lineage: Archaea; Thermoproteati; Thermoproteota; Thermoprotei; Sulfolobales; Sulfolobaceae
Description: tRNA-Ser
Rfam family: tRNA
About the family: Transfer RNA (tRNA) molecules are approximately 80 nucleotides in length.
Source: RNAcentral